AAUGGCAUGGACCCCACACACACAGAGGGUGCACCCCCUCACACACAGAGGGUGCACCCUCUGUGUGUGUGUGUGUGUGUAACUGUAACCGUUGUAACUGCCGUUGUAACGUUAACUCAUCUAGCGCGCUAGCUUGUAGCCUAUGUUUGUUGCGCUUGCUUGAAUAUGAAAGCAGAAAAAACUUACCAGGCAGCUGAAGAAUAUUUGCUAUCUCCUGCCAGCGUUUCUCCCGUUGAUAGCGGUCGUGGUAGGUGGAAGAAGAAACGUCAAAGAGGCACUCAUACUGUUGCCACAGCUCAACCAACCUGGCCUCCAUAUUUUCAGUCCACUGACGCGUCACCAUGGUGAUCUAUGUCUUCGCGCAGGCGCAGUGAUGGAUAAAUAGAGACGUUGGCGAAUUGCCUCGUGGCUCUGCUUCAACUGUGCGAAUCAUCCGACCGUCCGACCAUGGUUCUGGAACAGAUGAUCGGCCCUCGCCCCCCCCUUACACUGCAUGGCAAAAGAUGCGUCUCAAAAAUCGGGUCAAAUCCGGUCAAAAAUCGUACAGUGUAUGCUGGGCUUUAGUGAGCAACUCUGUAUGGUUCGAUCUUUCAUUAUUCCGUUUCAAAACAAAAUCAGAAAAAUAAGCAAAUGGGUCCGUUUUUCCAUCUUGAAACCAAAACGGAAAACCGGAAAUGAAAAAACAGUGUUUUUCUGUAGGAGAACAGAGUGGAGACUAGCAGAGUCACAAGCAGCUGCAGUUUUCACAGUGGGACUGUUGAGUCACAUUAUUAAGAUUUAACAUUUUUUCAGGCGAGAAAGCAACCAUGUAGAUUCCCCAUAUGUGGUUAGCUUAUCCAAAGAACGCCUGUUUGUAAAUCUGCUGCGACAUUUUCGGACAUGUGAAAAGCCGUGACUGACCGGUGUUUCAGGUUAACAGGUGACCGGUUCAUGGACGCGCGUUGUCAUGGCAACGGCAGAAACAACUGCGCUGGCUGUCCAACAUGGCAGAGUCUGAAGCAUAAAAAACAUCAUAAACUUACCCAACUCCAAAUAAACAUUCCAUAAACAUCAUUUCAUUUCCUAUAUUGUUUCCCCCGUCUUCUGUCUAUAUCUAAAAAUCCAAGUUAAUAACAAACUGACACCGUUGUGGCUUAGAUCAUUUAAUUAAUUACUGAGAAGUGAAUAUGUGCACGGAACAUUUCUAAUGCUAUUUAUUUAUUCUCAACACAACAUCAGUUGUUUUGAGCACACUGUUCAUUGAUCAUCAGUGUCAUAAAGCAACUGCAUUGGGAACACUUGACACUCCUUCCUAAAUAUAAUCUUGUGCCGCUUUGACUUUUAAUGAUAAAAUAGCAAAGACCGCUUUGAGUAGCUUGAUCUUCAUUUCUGAUCCAUCACCUGAUAAGCUCACCUUGACAAAGUGCCUCGAAUUAGACAAUAACGAGCCUCACUCUUAUGCUCUUUCUGGAUGUCACUUACAGGGAGUUUGAAAAAAAAUUCCCUCACCAAAGAGGAAAGAUGCGGAAAAAGCAGUGCCAAAAUGGCUGAUUGGUGCCAGGGACAGGGGAUGCAACCGUGCCAUGAGAGCACAUGGAGGAGAGCAAAACCGGGAAAACCAAAAGACACUUAAACUGCUGAGUGACUAAACUGCUAUCCCUACAGACACCUCAACUUCAUCUCCCUCCAGGGAAGCUGGAAGAUUUUUUUAGUGGGGGUCAUGCUGUCAACACCCCACUUCCCUUGUCCCUAUCUCCCUCCCAUAUUUGUCUGUUUAUAUUUGUUCAAUAUGUUUUAACUUUGUUCUUGAUGGUUUAUGUUCUGAAAAAAUGUAAUUAAAAUCACAAACUGCAA
Non-coding RNA from Epinephelus lanceolatus (giant grouper), 1833 nucleotides. The record is from RefSeq and is a predicted model, not a curated record. NCBI's taxonomy places the organism in Eukaryota, Metazoa, Chordata, Actinopteri, Perciformes, Serranidae.